Gossypium hirsutum (cotton) is the source of this 145-nucleotide non-coding RNA. Lineage: Eukaryota; Viridiplantae; Streptophyta; Magnoliopsida; Malvales; Malvaceae. The record is from Rfam.
UAUUAAAAAUUUCAUCCAUUUCUACCGUUAAAAACUGGUGUGCUUAACGGAAUAACCAGACAAUAACAUGUGACGUGCCACGUGUAUCUCAUCCUGGCAUACAUGGACAAGUUUUUAACCGUAGAAAUGGAUGAAAUUUUUAACA